This is a long non-coding RNA of Alexandromys fortis (reed vole), 384 nucleotides long. RefSeq lists it as uncharacterized. The record is from RefSeq and is a predicted model, not a curated record. NCBI's taxonomy places the organism in Eukaryota, Metazoa, Chordata, Mammalia, Rodentia, Cricetidae. The transcript has 3 exons.
GGCUUGGCAGUCGCUGUGGACAGGGCAAGGGUUGAAUAGACACCAAGAACAAAAGUAGGUUCUCUCUGUGGAACAACUCUGUGAAUGGAAAGGGUGGGAAAGGUCAGCCUGCUGCUUUCUGCCCUGAAUCCACUCCGGAAGAAAGGACUUCUGCCUGGCAUCUCUUCCAGAGGACACAGCGGAAAAGUAAUCUUACUAGGAGACAGGGUCUCACUAUAGUGCUCAGGCUGACCUCAACUCCCAAGUAAUCCUGCUACCCCGGGUGGAAUUAAAGGCACAAAAACAAGCCUUAACCCAGUGUGAGGAAUGCCAGCAAUGCUUUCCUUUCCUGAGAAGUUCAGCCUGGAAUACCCUCAGUUCCUGUCAUUCCUGUGGCUCUCCUGC